UUUGAGGGGAGGAAUCGUGGAGGAAUUUGGGGGGGGGUCCUGGGGGGUCCUGAGGGCUCCUCUGGGGAUUUGGGGUCCCUCAGCGCCCCCCAACAUGGCGCCGCCCACAGCUCCUCCCGCGCCGCUCUCCCAUUGGCUCCUUCCAGACGGCGAGGGGGGCGUCCCGCUUUUCCGAUUGGCUCCCCCGCGCCGGAAGUGGGCGGGGCGAAGCGAGCGCGGGCUCAUUCGAGCGGCGGAAAUGGCGGCGCCGGCGGCGGAACGCGCGCGGGGGCUCCUGGCGCGGCUCCGGGCCGCUCUGGCGCUGCCUCAGGAGGACGGGGACGUCCCCGCGCGGGUCCUGGCCGAGCACCUGACGGUGAGAGCGCCGAAAUCCGCCGCUUUGGCCCCAAAAACGCCGCGUUCCUCAAGAGCACCCGCAGCUUUUGCCCCGAAGUCCGCGUUAUUUGUCCCAAAAUCUCCUCUGAUUUGUCCUAAGUUCCCUCCUAUUGGUCCCCAAAUCCCAAUUUCCCCCCAUGCUCCCACUUUCACCGCUAUUUUUGCCCUAAAUUGCCUUUUUUGCCCCCAAGUCUUCUCUUAUUUGCCUCCCAAAAUCCCCAUUUCCUCCCGUACUCCCACUUUCACCGCUAUUUUUGCCCCAAAUUGCCCUUUUUUGCCCCAAAUUCCCUCACGUUUGCCCCCCAAUCCCCACUUCCUUACAUAUACGCCCAUUUUCCCCAAUAUUUUUGAUCUAAUUUUUUUUUUUUUGGACCAAAUUCCUCUAUUUUGUCCCAAAUUCCCCAGUGCCCCCCAUACUCCUGCUUUCCCCACCAUUUUUGCCCUAAAUUGCCUUUUUUUUGCCCCCAAAUCUUUUCUUAUUUGCCUCCAAAUCCCCAUUUCCCCCACGAAUUUUGCCCUAAAUUGCCAUUUUUGGCCCCAAAACCCCAUUUAUCCCCUAACUCUUUUCCAUUUGACCCAAACUUCCCAUUUUUGCACACCUACUUUUGCCCAAACCCCCCAAUUUAUGCCCCAAAACGCCCCACUUUGCUCCCCAUUUUCCCCCAAAUCCCUCAGUUUUUGUCCCCAGUUGCCCUCAAUUCCAGCAAAACAAGGAGUUUUUCCCCAAACUUCCAGUUUUUGCCCCAAAUUCCCCCUUUUUGCCCCCG
RNAcentral lists this long non-coding RNA (1142 nucleotides) under Numida meleagris (helmeted guineafowl). RNAcentral's name for it is "lncRNA (ENSNMEG00000006272.1)". The record is from RNAcentral. Lineage: Eukaryota; Metazoa; Chordata; Aves; Galliformes; Numididae.